GUGUGCUACAACAUCGCUAAUGCUGCUGCCGUGACAGUUGAAAACGAGGAAAAAAGAGGUUGGAGAACCGUCGAAGACGCACUUUAAACUGUCCCGCCUUCUCCAGAUGAAAACCGCCUUCUUGGUCAGGUCUUAGUGGAUGCUUGGAAAAUGUGAGGCUCCAGCCCUUGCGUCCAACCGAGGUUGACCAGCGAUCCAGUUGAUGGCAAACCUCCCAGUCGAACUCUGAGUGACCACCACACCAUUCAGCGGAUUCUGUGGUAGGAUUAUGUCAGUCCCACUGACCGACACCAAUGAGAGCCUACUUGGAUACUUUUCCUUGACUUU
Molecule: long non-coding RNA, 327 nt
Organism: Acanthochromis polyacanthus (spiny chromis)
Lineage: Eukaryota; Metazoa; Chordata; Actinopteri; Pomacentridae
Exons: 3
Source: RefSeq, a predicted model, not a curated record